GAUGAACGCUGGCGGCGUGCCUAAUACAUGCGAGUCGAGCGAACGGACGAGAAGCUUGCUUCUCUGAUGUUAGCGGCGGACGGGUGAGUAACACGUGGAUAACCUACCUAUAAGACUGGGAUAACUUCGGGAAACCGGAGCUAAUACCGGAUAAUAUAUUGAACCGCAUGGUUCAAAAGUGAAAGACGGUCUUGCUGUCACUUAUAGAUGGAUCCGCGCUGCAUUAGCUAGUUGGUAAGGUAACGGCUUACCAAGGCAACGAUGCAUAGCCGACCUGAGAGGGUGAUCGGCCACACUGGAACUGAGACACGGUCCAGACUCCUACGGGAGGCAGCAGUAGGGAAUCUUCCGCAAUGGGCGAAAGCCUGACGGAGCAACGCCGCGUGAGUGAUGAAGGUCUUCGGAUCGUAAAACUCUGUUAUUAGGGAAGAACAUAUGUGUAAGUAACUGUGCACAUCUUGACGGUACCUAAUCAGAAAGCCACGGCUAACUACGUG
Molecule: ribosomal RNA, 497 nt
Filed under: uncultured bacterium
Lineage: Bacteria
Description: partial 16S ribosomal RNA
Rfam family: Bacterial small subunit ribosomal RNA
Source: RNAcentral